AUUGAACGCUGGCGGCGUGCCUAACACAUGCAAGUCGAGCGGUAACAGGUGUAGCAAUACAUGCUGACGAGCGGCGAACGGGUGAGUAAUGCUUCGGAAUCUACCUUAUGGUGGGGAAUAACUAGCCGAAAGGUUAGCUAAUACCGCAUACGUCCUACGGGAGAAAGCAGGGGAUCGCAAGACCUUGCGCCAAAAGAUGAGCCGAAGUCGGAUUAGCUAGUUGGUAGGGUAACGGCCGACCAAGGCGACGAUCCGUAGCUGGUCUGAGAGGACGAGCAGCCAGACUGGGACUGAGACACGGCCCAGACUCCUACGGGAGGCAGCAGUGGGGAAUAUUGGAUAAUGGGGGAAACCCUGAUCCAGCGACGCCGCGUGUGUGAAGAAGGCCUGCGGGUUGUAAAGCACUUUUAGUGGGGAUGAAAUGUGCAGGGUUAAUACCUCUGCAUUUUGACCUAACCCACAGAAAAAGCACCGGCUAACUCUGUGCCAGCCGCCGCCGUAA
RNAcentral lists this ribosomal RNA (502 nucleotides) under uncultured bacterium. RNAcentral describes it as "partial 16S ribosomal RNA". It matches the Rfam family "Bacterial small subunit ribosomal RNA", at positions 30 to 523 of the family's 1533-position model. The record is from RNAcentral.